CUGAGUGUGUGUGUGUUUGCCUCGUGCAGUCAGGAUGGUACACUUCGCCUCUGGGACUCAGAGAACCACCUGCUCAGGACUCUGGAGCUGAACGCUGAACCAGAGUGUGUGCAGUUUAGUGGACGAGGAUCAGAGCUUCUGCUGGGAAUCAGAGGAGACAUUUACACAAUCCACUGCACACACCUGCUGCCUCCUGAGUUCCAGACACAGUUGUUGUUUAAUGAGGAUCUGACUCCUGAUCUGCCCAUCACAUGCAUCAACAGCAAGUCCUGCAAACAGAGCAGCCCUGAGAGCUCCAGCAGGGGAGAUGUGAAAUAUCCUAAAAUACUGGAUCAGACCAAAGACCCAGUGAGUGAGUGUGU
Long non-coding RNA from Silurus meridionalis, 362 nucleotides. RefSeq lists it as uncharacterized. NCBI's taxonomy places the organism in Eukaryota, Metazoa, Chordata, Actinopteri, Siluriformes, Siluridae. The transcript is spliced from 4 exons. The record is from RefSeq and is a predicted model, not a curated record.